CAUCCAGUAUGGAAAAAGCUAUGGAAUUUGAAAGCACCGGGAAAGGUGAAAAUUUUCCUGUGGAGAUGUCCGCAUGACGCAAUUCCCUGUCGUUGCGUGCUAGCUAAUAGGCACAUAUCACAGUCUGCUCAAUGCCCAAUUUUCUCACAAUUUGCAAAAGAUAUAGCACAUCUCUUAUUUAAAUGUGAUAGAGCACAGGAGAUUUGGAGGGGGCUCGGACUGCAUGAAAUAAUAGCCAAAGUGGCAAUACCGGGUCGAUCAGGCGUUGAAAUCAUUGAGAUAUUUCUGUGUGAUCCAGGACACAACACUAAAUAUAUGGACCAGGUGAUCUUGCCUGAAUUGAUUGCGGUGGCAUCAUGGUAUCUGUGGUGGGAGAGGAGAAGCAUAACUCGGCAGAAACCAGUGCAAUCUCCAACGCGGACAAGCCAGGCGAUUCAAGCUCUGUCUUUGAACUUCGUACGGGCUGCAUGUAAACCAACGACGAUCCUGCGUCUUAAUCACUGGAAAAACCACUACUGA
RNAcentral lists this ribosomal RNA (519 nucleotides) under Triticum aestivum (bread wheat). RNAcentral's name for it is "partial small subunit ribosomal RNA". The record is from RNAcentral. Lineage: Eukaryota; Viridiplantae; Streptophyta; Magnoliopsida; Poales; Poaceae.